CUGACUGCUUUCCAAAAAAUUACCCAGCCCCUGAAAAAAAUCACAAUUCCAAGCUUCAGUGAAGGUUUUCCCCACAUUUGUUAUAUAAAGGUGACAUUUAUCCAAAUGUGUCAAGUUUUAUAUGCUACUCAAAAUAGUGCAGAUAGGCGUACUUUUUGUAGACUAGGGAGGUAUGUAUACGUCAGUACAUUUAAAUCUACUCCUUUCACAGUUGGUCUUCUCAUUUUCUCUUGCUCACUAUCUCUUAUUCACCCCCCAACAAAGCCCUGUUUCCAAUUCUUUUUGUUGAGACUCUGGUGCCAGCCAGUGUUUGUCACUAUCUCCAUCUCCUUCUAUGGUCUUUUGUGUCUCUUUAUACCUGGAGUAGACAUGAAUCCUCCCCACUCAGCUUUCCCAGAACGUCACACUCUGGCUUCCCUUCUUCCAUGUCCCCGGAAGCCUGAGAGACCACAAUCCCAGAGGACCUGGGCCCCAUUCAUGUGCUCACCUGCUUGUGUCUGCCGGUUCCCUGAGUCCUUGCUUUCGCUGCAGGUUGCCUUUUGCUCUUUGCUCCUGUUUCAGCUCUUCUUAAUCAAGCG
RNAcentral lists this long non-coding RNA (578 nucleotides) under Homo sapiens (human). Its description in RNAcentral is "HSALNT0213090". The record is from RNAcentral. Lineage: Eukaryota; Metazoa; Chordata; Mammalia; Primates; Hominidae.